Molecule: ribosomal RNA, 508 nt
Filed under: uncultured archaeon
Lineage: Archaea
Description: bacterial SSU rRNA
Rfam family: Archaeal small subunit ribosomal RNA
Source: RNAcentral
CACCGGCGGCCCGAGUGGUGGCCACUAAUAUUGGGUCUAAAGGGUCCGUAGCCGGCUUGGUCAGUCUUCCGGGAAAUCUGACGGCUUAACCGUUAGGCUUCCGGGGGAUACUACCAGGCUUGGGACCGGGAGAGGUAAGAGGUACUACGGGGGUAGGAGUGAAAUCUUGUAAUCCCCGUGGGACCACCAGUGGCGAAGGCGUCUUACCAGAACGGGUCCGACGGUGAGGGACGAAAGCUGGGGGCACGAACCGGAUUAGAUACCCGGGUAGUCCCAGCCGUAAACUAUGCUCGCUAGGUGUCAGGGACGGUGCGACCGUUUCUGGUGCCGCAGGGAAGCCGUGAAGCGAGCCACCUGGGAAGUACGGUCGCAAGGCUGAAACUUAAAGGAAUUGGCGGGGGAGCACUACAACGGGUGGAGCCUGCGGUUUAAUUGGACUCAACGCCGGAAAACUCACCGGGGGCGACAGCAAUAUGUAGGUCAAGCUAAAGACUUUACCAGAAUCGCU